UUUAGUUUUAUGUUAUUUGAAAUUCGAUAGAAUAUUCUUUUUUUUUUUUGGCGCCUCAUUUGCUCAGGCCUACGCCUUCGCCUUACGCCUUGUGCCUAGGCUCCAAGACCCCUUGACGCCUUAGUGCACUUUGAGCUUUUAAUAAAUAUUACUAUGACACCUCAUCAGAAAGUGUAAUAAUAGCUAUUUCUAAUUCAAUAAGCAGAACACUAGAAUAGAAACAAGUAUCAAGUAGAAGAAGAGAAAGAUAGAAGGGAAACAAAAAAGAAACAAAGAAAUUGAACAAAAACUAAAAACAGCUGUAAUGUAGCCUGCCUUGAGUUUUCUUCCCAAAAAACCAAGGCAAUUAAAAAGACUAAAACAAGUUUAAGCAUAGUAUUUAUUUAUGGCAAACGGCAUAUUAAUACCCUUGCAACAUUUUUUGCAGUCAAUCCUAUAGCAGAACUUUCUGUAGGGGUGAGAGAGGAGAAUAGAAAGCCAAUAUCAGUGUAAAGUUUGAUACAACUUCCAGCUUGUUACAAAGGUUAAUAAUCAAAAGAGUAGAUUUCAAGACGAAAGAAAUGAUAUCGAGAGGUAGAAAGGAAAAAAAGUACCAAAAAAAGCAGGACAAGAAAUAUUCAAAGUAAAGCCCAUGCUAAUGCCAAAAGAGCUCUUCAGUCCCACAGCAAAUUGGCGAAGAAAUUACCCCAGAAAAGUUGGACAAUAGCGUGGAGCAAGUUCAAUUUUCUUUAAUAAAAGUUGGAUAAUUUCAACUGAAUUUUUAUGAAACUUAUAGAUUCAGUUUCUUAAAAGCUUGCCACAUAAGUUGACCUUUAUAAAACAAAGAUGAUUUGUACCAUCAAUAGCCUAUACCAUAAUUUAACAAUAUGAACUUAAUUAAGAGGGAAAAUGCUUAUGGAGCAGCAGAGAGAAUAGAAUAAGAAAUGAUAAGUUUACAAGUCCUAAAUGCACAAUGUUUCAGACAAGUAAUAGACAGGUUAAAAUUAACAAUAUUAUAUUUGAUGUUAUGUAUUAUUUGAAAUAGUUGUUUAUAAUUGAUUAACAAUAUCGUUUUGGACUUCCAAUGACUUGUUUCUAAUUGAUUAUGUAAUAUUAAAUUUUUUACAACAAAAUGAUGAUGGUUAUAAUUGUUGAUACUAUUUUCUUCAUGAGAACCUCUCAGCACAUACAACUUAUGAAUUAAAACAUAAAAAGGAUUUCUAACACCCAUUGGACUGCUAACUAGAUGAUCUGAUGGACAAGGAUUUCGAGUGAGAGAGAAAGAGAGAUGCAUGAGACCAACUGACUAAGAACAUUGAGUAAAACCAUUGACACAGCAAUCAGAGGUUGCC
Molecule: unclassified non-coding RNA, 1331 nt
Filed under: Hevea brasiliensis (rubber tree)
Lineage: Eukaryota; Viridiplantae; Streptophyta; Magnoliopsida; Malpighiales; Euphorbiaceae
Source: RNAcentral